GUGCGUGUAGCGCAGUGGUAGCGCACCGGGUUGUGGCCCCGGUGGUCGUCGGUUCGAAUCCGUCCACGCACCCCA
This 75-nucleotide transfer RNA is filed under the name Myxococcota bacterium. RNAcentral's name for it is "tRNA-His". It matches the Rfam family "tRNA". From Rfam's summary of the family: Transfer RNA (tRNA) molecules are approximately 80 nucleotides in length. The record is from RNAcentral. Lineage: Bacteria; Pseudomonadati; Myxococcota.